AGCGAACGCUGGCGGCAGGCCUAACACAUGCAAGUCGAACGAACUCUUCGGAGUUAGUGGCGGACGGGUGAGUAACACGUGGGAACGUGCCUUUAGGUUCGGAAUAACUCAGGGAAACUUGUGCUAAUACCGAAUGUGCCCUUCGGGGGAAAGAUUUAUCGCCUUUAGAGCGGCCCGCGUCUGAUUAGCUAGUUGGUGAGGUAAAGGCUCACCAAGGCUACGAUCAGUAGCUGGUCUGAGAGGAUGACCAGCCACAUUGGGACUGAGACACGGCCCAAACUCCUACGGGAGGCAGCAGUGGGGAAUCUUGCGCAAUGGGCGAAAGCCUGACGCAGCCAUGCCGCGUGGAUGAUGAAGGUCUUAGGAUUGUAAAAUCCUUUCACCGGUGAAGAUAAUGACUGUAGCCGGAGAAGAAGCCCCGGCUAACUUCGUGCCAGCAGCCCGCGGUAAUGUAGUCGUGU
RNAcentral lists this ribosomal RNA (461 nucleotides) under uncultured bacterium. RNAcentral describes it as "bacterial SSU rRNA". It matches the Rfam family "Bacterial small subunit ribosomal RNA", at positions 29 to 534 of the family's 1533-position model. The record is from RNAcentral.